Molecule: ribosomal RNA, 253 nt
Filed under: uncultured bacterium
Lineage: Bacteria
Description: partial 16S ribosomal RNA
Rfam family: Bacterial small subunit ribosomal RNA
Source: RNAcentral
UACAAGGGGUGCUAGCGUUAUUCGGAUUCAUUGGGCGUAAAGGGUACGUAGACGGCGUGCUAAGUUAGUUGCUAAAUCUCUCGGCCUAACCGAGAACAAGCAAUUAAUACUGGUAUGCUAGAGGGUGAGAGAGAGGAGUGGAAUUCUCGGAGUAGCGGUAAAAUGCGUAGAUAUCGAGAGGAACACCGAUGGCGAAGGCAGCUCCUUGGCUCAUUCCUGACGUUGAGGUACGAAAGCGUGGGUAGCAAACAGG